CUAAGCUGAGGCCGACAGGCGUAGGCGAUGGAUAACAGGUUGAUAUUCCUGUACCACCUAUAAUCGUUUUAAUCGAUGGGGGGACGCAGUAGGAUAGGCGAAGCGUGCGAUUGGAUUGCACGUCUAAGCAGUAAGGCUGAGUAUUAGGCAAAUCCGGUACUCGUUAAGGCUGAGCUGUGAUGGGGAGAAGACAUUGUGUCUUCGAGUCGUUGAUUUCACACUGCCGAGAAAAGCCUCUAGAUAGAAAAUAGGUGCCCGUACCGCAAACCGACACAGGUAGUCAAGAUGAGAAUUCUAAGGUGAGCGAGCGAACUCUCGUUAAGGAACUCGGCAAAAUGACCCCGUAACUUCGGGAGAAGGGGUGCUCUUUAGGGUUAACGCCCAGAAGAGCCGCAGUGAAUAGGCCCAAGCGACUGUUUAUCAAAAACACAGGUCUCUGCUAAACCGUAAGGUGAUGUAUAGGGGCUGACGCCUGCCCGGUGCUGGAAGGUUAAGAGGAGUGGUUAGCUUCUGCGAAGCUACGAAUCGAAGCCCCAGUAAACGGCGGCCGUAACUAUAACGGUCCUAAGGUAGCGAAAUUCCUUGUCGGGUAAGUUCCGACCCGCACGAAAGGCGUAACGAUUUGGGCACUGUCUCAACGAGAGACUCGGUGAAAUCAUAGUACCUGUGAAGAUGCAGGUUACCCGCGACAGGACGGAAAGACCCCGUGGAGCUUUACUGUAGCCUGAUAUUGAAAUUCGGCACAGCUUGUACAGGAUAGGUAGGAGCCUUUGAAACGUGAGCGCUAGCUUACGUGGAGGCGCUGGUGGGAUACUACCCUAGCUGUGUUGGCUUUCUAACCCGCACCACUUAUCGUGGUGGGAGACAGUGUCAGGCGGGCAGUUUGACUGGGGCGGUCGCCUCCUAAAAGGUAACGGAGGCGCUCAAAGGUUCCCUCAGAAUGGUUGGAAAUCAUUCAUAGAGUGUAAAGGCAUAAGGGAGCUUGACUGCGAGACCUACAAGUCGAGCAGGGUCGAAAGACGGACUUAGUGAUCCGGUGGUUCCGCAUGGAAGGGCCAUCGCUCAACGGAUAAAAGCUACCCCGGGGAUAACAGGCUUAUCUCCCCCAAGAGUUCACAUCGACGGGGAGGUUUGGCACCUCGAUGUCGGCUCAUCGCAUCCUGGGGCUGUAGUCGGUCCCAAGGGUUGGGCUGUUCGCCCAUUAAAGCGGUACGCGAGCUGGGUUCAGAACGUCGUGAGACAGUUCGGUCCCUAUCCGUCGUGGGCGUAGGAAAUUUGAGAGGAGCUGUCCUUAGUACGAGAGGACCGGGAUGGACAUACCUCUGGUGUACCAGUUGUCGUGCCAACGGCAUAGCUGGGUAGCUAUGUGUGGACGGGAUAAGUGCUGAAAGCAUCUAAGCAUGAAGCCCCCCUCAAGAUGAGAUUUCCCAACUUCGGUUAUAAGAUCCCUCAAAGAUGAUGAGGUUAAUAGGUUCGAGGUGGAAGCAUGGUGACAUGUGGAGCUGACGAAUACUAAUCGAUCGAAGACUUAAUC
Molecule: ribosomal RNA, 1534 nt
Filed under: Staphylococcus aureus
Lineage: Bacteria; Bacillati; Bacillota; Bacilli; Caryophanales; Staphylococcaceae
Description: bacterial LSU rRNA
Rfam family: Bacterial large subunit ribosomal RNA
Source: RNAcentral